Molecule: ribosomal RNA, 806 nt
Filed under: uncultured Peptostreptococcus sp.
Lineage: Bacteria; Bacillati; Bacillota; Clostridia; Peptostreptococcales; Peptostreptococcaceae
Description: bacterial SSU rRNA
Rfam family: Bacterial small subunit ribosomal RNA
Source: RNAcentral
AAGUCGAGCGAGGGUUUGCUCAGUAUUGAGUAUUCUAAGACUAGAAUGUUCAAUUCUGAGCAAAAUCAAGCGGCGGACGGGUGAGUAACGCGUGGGUAACCUGCCCUAUACACAUGGAUAACAUACUGAAAAGUUUACUAAUACAUGAUAAUAUAUAUUUGCGGCAUCGCAGAUAUAUCAAAGUGUUAGCGGUAUAGGAUGGACCCGCGUCUGAUUAGCUAGUUGGUGAGAUAACUGCCCACCAAGGCGACGAUCAGUAGCCGACCUGAGAGGGUGAUCGGCCACAUUGGAACUGAGACACGGUCCAAACUCCUACGGGAGGUAGCAGUGGGGAAUAUUGCACAAUGGGCGAAAGCCUGAUGCAGCAACGCCGCGUGAACGAUGAAGGUCUUCGGAUCGUAAAGUUCUGUUGCAGGGGAAGAUAAUGACGGUACCCUGUGAGGAAGCCCCGGCUAACUACGUGCCAGCAGCCGCGGUAAUACGUAGGGGGCUAGCGUUAUCCGGAUUUACUGGGCGUAAAGGGUGCGUAGGUGGUCCUUCAAGUCGGUGGUUAAAGGCUACGGCUCAACCGUAGUAAGCCGCCGAAACUGGAGGACUUGAGUGCAGGAGAGGAAAGUGGAAUUCCCAGUGUAGCGGUGAAAUGCGUAGAUAUUGGGAGGAACACCAGUAGCGAAGGCGGCUUUCUGGACUGCAACUGGCACUGAGGCACGAAAGCGUGGGUAGCAAACAGGAUUAGAUACCCUGGUAGUCCACGCUGUAAACGAUGAGUACUAGGUGUCGGGGGUUACCCCCCUCGGUGCCGCAGC